GGGAAAGUGGCUCAGUGGUAGAGUGCUUGCCUUGCAUGCAUGAGGCGCUAGGAUCCAUUCCUC
RNAcentral lists this transfer RNA (63 nucleotides) under Dipodomys ordii (Ord's kangaroo rat). It matches the Rfam family "tRNA", at positions 1 to 62 of the family's 71-position model. From Rfam's summary of the family: Transfer RNA (tRNA) molecules are approximately 80 nucleotides in length. Their secondary structure includes four short double-helical elements and three loops (D, anti-codon, and T loops). Further hydrogen bonds mediate the characteristic L-shaped molecular structure. tRNAs have two regions of fundamental functional importance: the anti-codon, which is responsible for specific mRNA codon recognition, and the 3' end, to which the tRNAs corresponding amino acid is attached (by aminoacyl-tRNA synthetases). tRNAs cope with the degeneracy of the genetic code in two manners: having more than one tRNA (with a specific anti-codon) for a particular amino acid; and 'wobble' base-pairing, i.e. permitting non-standard base-pairing at the 3rd anti-codon position. Lineage: Eukaryota; Metazoa; Chordata; Mammalia; Rodentia; Heteromyidae. The record is from Rfam by way of RNAcentral.